Molecule: non-coding RNA, 35 nt
Organism: Ailuropoda melanoleuca (giant panda)
Lineage: Eukaryota; Metazoa; Chordata; Mammalia; Carnivora; Ursidae
Source: Rfam
CUGUCUCUUGCUUCAACCAUGUUUGGAUGGAAUAG